Molecule: ribosomal RNA, 499 nt
Filed under: uncultured bacterium
Lineage: Bacteria
Description: partial 16S ribosomal RNA
Rfam family: Bacterial small subunit ribosomal RNA
Source: RNAcentral
GACGAACGCUGGCGGCGUGCUUAACACAUGCAAGUCGAACGGGCCCGCUCUCUUUUUUGGGGGUGGGUUGAGUGGCGAACGGGUGAGUAUCACGUGAGUAACCUGCCCCCUGCUCCUGGAUAACUGCUUGAAAGGGCGGCUAAUACGGGGUAUGCCGGCUGGUCCGCAUGGGCCUGGUCGGGAUAGUUUCAUCUUCGGGUGUUUCGGUGGGGGAUGGGCUCGCGGCCUAUCAGCUUGUUGGUGGGGUGAUGGCCCACCAAGGCGGUGACGGGUAGCCGGCCUGAGAGGGUGGGCGGCCACACUGGGACUGAGACACGGCCCAGACUCCUGCGGGAGGCAGCAGUGGGGGGUAUUGCACAAUGGGCGGAAGCCUGAUGCAGCGACGUCGCGUGAGGGAUGGAGGCCUUCGGGUUGUGAACCUCUUUCUCCGGUGGUGAAGGCCCUGUCCGUUGCGGCGGGGUUGACGGUAGCCGGGUAUGAAGCGCCGGCUAACUACGUG